Molecule: long non-coding RNA, 1014 nt
Filed under: Capra hircus (goat)
Lineage: Eukaryota; Metazoa; Chordata; Mammalia; Artiodactyla; Bovidae
Description: lncRNA (ENSCHIG00010030998.1)
Source: RNAcentral
GGUGUUUAGGCAGAGAAGGCUUGAGGAGACCACCUACAGGGCGGCCCAUGUCAACACGGGCGGGGUGACACCAGCACAGAGGAAAUGGCUGCCCAGCCCCGAGGGUCGAAGGGCAGGAGGAAGUACCUCCCUGCUCCCAGGAUAUGGAGGGCGCAGGUGGGGCUGAGCGCUGUGUGGAUGGCCCUGAGGCUAGCAGUUGUCACUCUACCGUAUAUCAGAAUCACCCUGGAGGGCUUGUUAGCAAAUUCAGCUCUUUACUCCGCUCAAGUACCAUAGCACUUCAGAUCAUGGUGUUGAUUCCAUAAAGUUCAUAUACAAAUAAUGUUCCAGUUCAGGUCUUUGGAAGGCAAUUUUUUUGUCUUAGAAAGAUGUGUUUCUUAUAUAGCCCCCUCAAUCUCUUGCCCCACUCCCUAGCAGGUGUUGUGACUUGUUUCAACAGUUUGUUUCUUUUUAUAGCUAAGUAGUAUUCCCUUGUAUGGAUAUACCACAUCCUUUCACCUGUUGAUGGCCAUUUGGGCUGUUUAUCUGUUAGCAAUCUCAGAUAAAGUUGCUGCGAAUAUUUGUGUGUAAGUNNNNNNNNNNNNNNNNNNUUUUAUUUUUCCUGGGUAGGCUCCGAGUACGGCGUCCUGUGCCUAAAAUGAUCUCCACCUGGAUGGCCACAUGGCCUGCCCCCUCGACUGGAUUUCACACAGGUUGGUUUCAGCUCAAAUGUCACUUCCCAGACCAUUCUUCUCAUUUACUUUGUACUAAAGGGCCCACCUGAUCACACAUCCCUUACCCUACUUUUUCCUCAUUGCACUUCAUUGCGCCCAAUAUUAUUUAUUUGUAUACUAUCUGUCCCUGCCUUGUUCAGUACUGUACCUCCAGCAUCUAGCGUGUGUCUGGAACACAGAAGUUGCUCAGUAAGUAUUUGUUGCACAAAUAAAUGAUGAAAUCAGAAUGCCUUUUUCCAAUAUCCACACCAGGUAUUAGACACCUGUAUAAUCUUUGCCUACUUAAUAUGUGGGAAACAAC